This 566-nucleotide unclassified non-coding RNA is filed under the name Hevea brasiliensis (rubber tree). Lineage: Eukaryota; Viridiplantae; Streptophyta; Magnoliopsida; Malpighiales; Euphorbiaceae. The record is from RNAcentral.
AGAGAGAGAGAGAGAGAGAAAUGGUUCAUACGAAAAAAUUGUUUUAGGUUAGGGAAGAAUUCUGAAAAUGUAACUUCAUUUUAGGUUUUUAAAAUGGCUCAACCUCUAAAGUACCCCAUUCGGACAUUCAGUUGCUGUACCCAGCAUUCUUAAAUAAUUUAGUAUUGAACUACUCAUUUCCCUCUUCUGAUUAGCAUAAUUGUUGCUGCUAGCAGGCAACCUCUUAUCCUGCUGCACUUUUAUUUCCUUCUGUGCAUUAUUGCACAGACGGUCUCAGAUCUAACACUGAAUUUCUUUAUCAAUGCUUACUCCACUUCUGAAUUAUUGCAAUUUCAAAAUUUACUUUUCAUUGCACAUUCUAUAGAUUCUGCAUGGCAAUACAGUUCACCCGCUGACUUUUGGAACACAAGUUGAAAAAUAAAGGGGGGAGCUAUUUUUACUACUAGAAGGGAGCUCCCAUGAUAUGCUUUUCCUUAUCUUUUUCUGUACAACUUGCUAAGAUGUUGACCAAUUUAACUUAUCCCACAUAAAUGUGUCUGCAGGUGCAGCUGAUACCUUAUAAUCCA